GUAGUGGUCUUGGAGGAUAGUAGAGCCUUGAAGAGCAUUCCAGCAGUCAGUGGACUCUUAGCGUUUCGCAAAGAAAAUCAGUCUUUACAUGUUAGAAGAAACGACGCCUGGAAUACUGUGGCUAUAGAAGAGAACGUAAGUAGUGUAAUUUUUUCCACAUAUUAUUCAUUACAACAUUGUUUUAUCCCGCCUCAAUGUCGCCUUCCUGUAAGGUGAAUUUCCGUGAAAUACCAGACCUCUUAGGAAUUUCGACUUCAUUUUCUAGCCGGGAAUAUAAGCUCGACUUGCAUAUUCCAUCAAUUUAGCAACAGGCAACAUCCCACGUUGGUUAUUGGUAUAGAUUCGGGUGGGUACUACCACUACAAUUCCUUUCACUUUGGCUUGCUUUAAAUAUGGUUUCAUUGCGUACAACUUCAUUAUGAAAAUAACUGCCAUGGCAAGGGAUUCCCUCGAAGUAUUUAAGUGACACUUUGUGAAACAGCUAGAAGCUCGACUAAAUCGCUUCUGAUUUGUUUGGUUCUUGACGAGAGUGAUGAUACCAUUCAAUUAAGAUCAUAUACACGUCUACAGGUGUGUGUACCACAGAAUACCGCAAAAAUUUACAUGUUCCAUAUCUUUUGUCUAAAGUAUAUAAUAUGGUUCCUUCAUAUUUUUUAGUAUAGUCUAUCGAUACAUUUUUUCUUCCUGGGGGUUUUUGGGCAAGAUUUCAUAGACUUAAUUAUUUUUUUUUAAAUGAAUAUUCUGUGGAAAAAAAUCCAAUGUACCACAGAAUACCAGUGCAGAGGUAAGUAUGCAACGAUUUAUCAAAUUGUACGAGGAUUUGGUGUGUCAUCUUGUAUGAUAAUUCUAUGGGAUAUUCCUACCUUAAUUUAGUGAAAGUUAAACACUAAAUCAGUAUACAGAGUACCAGUGGUAUAACCAAAGAAUACCAGGUUUAUCAAUAAUUUUGAAAAAUUCAGUUAUUCAAUGGUAAAAUUUAUUACACUGUGUGAUUCCAGUGUGGUUAUAAUGUUGCAUUGCAUAGAAAAAGUAUUGAUCAACAUAAAUUAUGCUGGUUUGCGAACUUAUUUUUAAACAUUCGGAUUUUAUAGGCAUUAUGCGGAAAAAAGUACCAAAAAUAUAGAAUGUUACUUUUUGUUAAUCCUGAUUAUUUUUAAGAAUUUUUAAGAAAAUAGACAUUUUUUGUUUUUAUAUGUCAAUUAAGACUAAAACUAAUAUAUAAUCACAAAAAUAAAGUUUAUAGCAUAUUUCCUUCAAAUUUUGUAUAAGAAAUAAAUAAGACUGGUAUUCUGUGGUACCGUGGUAUUCUGUGGUACAUACACCUGUAAAGCCAACAUAGUUCCUAGUCCAUCAAUCACCAUGAAAUACAGAAAAAGUCUAAUCAGGUUGCUAAAGAGAUAGGGACAACGAAGAUGGCCUGUUAAUUGGCGCAAUAGCGAUAAGGCGAAUUUGAAUAAAAUAAGAUUAACGUCUUUGUCUUUCAUAUGUAGUCAGCAACUCAAUAACUCGAUGUUGUUGUAGCGCUGUAUUUUUAAUCCUGUUCUCCCUCUAUACUCUUCUCGUCUUCGCUUCUCGGAGCGUUUAAUGUUUUCAAUUACAACAUUCUGAUCCAUGCAGGUCUUUGCAUAGAUCUUUGCAAGGUAAACGUCAUUAUUAUAACAAUGGAUACUGACAUGUGAAUGAGGAGAAAUCCAUGGCUUUUCUACCCCAUAAAUACCUACCAAUGGACCUUUCCCCUUAUAACUAAAAUUUUGAUCUAGACAAAAAUUUCAUCACAGCUUGAAAGAGCAUCACAAAAUUAGUAAUAUUCCAAAGUUUCGUUGCAAAAUGUUGUAAAAUGCGGAUAAUAUAGCCUUGCNNNNNNNNNNNNNNNNNNNNNNNNNNNNNNNNNNNNNNNNNNNNNNNNNNNNNNNNNNNNNNNNNNNNNNNNNNNNNNNNNNNNNNNNAUCACAGCUUGAAAGAGCAUCACAAAAUUAGUAAUAUUCCAAAGUUUCGUUGCAAAAUGUUGUAAAAUGCGGAUAAUAUAGCCUUGCGAAGUUUGCCGUUUUUCAGUCAUUUUGUAUUACGCAUGGGAAAUUGACAACCCAAUCGGGUGUUGGGGCAUCAAUUUCCCGUUUGUAAUACAAAAUGACUGAAAAUUGCAAAUUUCGCAGGGCUAUAUUAUCCGAACUUUACAACAUUUCCCAACGAAACUUCGGAAUAUUACUAAUUUUGUGAUGCUCUUUCAAGCUGUGAUGAAAUUUUUGUCUAGACUUGUCUAGAUCAAAAUUUUAGUUAUAAGGGGAAAGGUCCAUUGAGUGAGGGACAAUUUACAUACUGAACCGACUGGCACGCUAACUAGAAACCACAUUUCCAAACUAACUAAAUGCAAAAGGUACAGGUUAUUAUCCGUCCCUCAGGUUGCUCCAUUUACUGUUAUAGAACAUUUGGAACACUGUUCUGGAACGAUAUAAAAUGGAAUGCACACGAUAUUCUGGAACAGCGUCGAGUUUAUUAUAUACAACGUGCAACCAUUAGUUAUACGCAUAAUAAAGCUAUAAUGAUUCGCUGUUGUUUGUACAUCUACGUAUGCUAUUGCAACGUUUUGACUGGUUGAUUUUGCCCAACCCUUGCUUUCAAAUAGAAUACACGAAAAAACAAUGUACAAUCUAAAUAAUCUACAAAAAGCAAAUGAUCCAAAUGAUCUACAAAAAGCAAAUGAUCUACAAAAAGCAAAUGAUCUACAAAAGCAAAUGAUCCAAAUAAUCCACAAAAAGCAAAUUAUCCACAAAAAGCAAAUGAUCCAAUAAAACGAACCGAUCCAAAUGCACCAGCCAAAAAGCCUGACGAUCCAAAACAAAUAAGUAGCCAAAAUUAUUUUUUUAAAAAACAAAGAACAACACGAAAUGAUAUAAUUCCAUUCUCUCUUAUUGGCGUGACGUCACCCGUGACUUGGUAUAUCGCACUUAAACUCCAUGGUUGGACCCCUACGCAACCAUUUUGCCCCCUCCCCAGUCAAUGUCCCUUUUCUCUAAACUACAAGCAAAGCAUGGAAUUUAGAAAGGAGGUUUGAUAUUCUAGUAACUCAAAUUUGCUUUGUGAAUCUUAUGUCCCGUCCUCUAUCUUUAAUUCAAAAAAUAUACAUUGUGUUGUAAAUAUACAAAGUUGUUAGAUUUUAAACAUUUUCCAGUGGAUUGCAUAUUCCGGACCCUAUAGAUUUGAGUUGUUGGAAGGUUCGGCUAAACAAGGUAGUGGCCACAGGGGAAUAUAGGAAGCAAGGGGCCGCGGCCUCCCAUUCGAUGCAAGAAGUUUUUGAAAUCGUAUAUAUAUUAGCCAGCUCUUUCAUUAAUCACAACAUCUAAAGCGAUCAUUGUCAGUCUCUUCAUUUUUCUAACGUUAAUCCAUUAUUUCCUUGCACGGUUGGGUACAUUCCAUCAGUAUACUGACUUGUAAUAAAUAGUGGUUGCGUGCAAGCAAAUGAUAAGCUCUAUCUUCAUUCGCCCUCGUAUUAAAGUGUCGUUCGAAAACAAGCAAAUAAGUACCUAAUGCAAACUUUAAUUUAAGCAAAAAUGGAAGUAGUAAAUUAUAACAUUUUUUAGUCAUUUUGGUUCAAUAUCUAGUAAUAUAUUUUUUCAGGUAAACGAGCAAUUGGCAAAUAUUAACGAACUGUUAGGACAGUUAUUCUUUGGUAAGUUUUCUGCAUAAUUAUAAAUCAUUAUGUUAAAGAAUGAUUAUCGCGGUAAUCCUUUGCGCGCUUGCAUGCCAGCAGCUUGUUCGGCUAUUUUAGGGUGCCAGGAAAAUAGCGACUUUCGUAUAUUGCAAGUGUAAAUAAAUAAUUCUAAGAAAUGUAUUGCUUGUUUUAAGAACUCUAAUUCUUGGUAAGAAUUUCAAUUCUUAUACUCUGAAAUCUAAUUAAUGUGCGCCUCUUACACAUUUUAAGAAAACAGAUAUUCUUGUCAAGCAUUUAGACGGAUAGUUUGCCUGUUUUUUUACCACUGAACGGCAAAUAUUCCUGAUGAGACUCUUUGCUUAUAUAUUUUAAGAAAACAAAUCAGUCUUGUCGUGAAUAGAAUAUCAACAAGAACUCAACCAAUGACUGUUUUAAGUCAGUAAUUAUUCCUGUAUAGCCAGACGUUUUGCCCGUUUUAAGUAUAUAAAUAUUGUUUCAAGAAAGAAAUUCCUGCUUAGAAAAAUUUUACUUAUUUUAAAAAGUAAAAUUAUUUCUUGUUAAAAAUAUUCUCUUUCGUUUUUCUUAUUUUAAGAAAAAUAUUGCUUAAAAUAAGAAUUUUACAAGAAUUUUUUUUAGGUAAGAAUUCUCAAUUUUGCUGUGUAGGAGUUGUUUCACUAAAUCCGCGAAUAUCCAAACAAUCUUCAUCAUAAAUGAUUCAUUACUCAUGAAAUUCUGGGCAGUGAAUACAUAGCUUAACCUGCUGUUAAACAUUUCAAAAUUUUUAUUAAUGUAAUAAACGACAAAUUGUGUGACGGUGUUUAUGUAUAAAGAAUAUGAGAUGUUGAUUACCACAAAAGAAUCUAUUGGAUUCUCAACGAAGACACAUAGUGAUUUUGUACGGCAAUUGCUUCUGAAUUUUGACGAAGACGAGCCUUUGCAAUUAUCAAUGGAAUCUUCAGGCGAUUGUAAAUACAACAUAUUUGUUAUUUAGGCAAUUAAAAUCUUUAUAUUUUAAAACGUUCUAAAUUCGUUAUCUACGUCCAAUAUGAUCAUAUCUUUUGUAUAUAACACUUUAGAUUGACCCUUGCAUGCAUGCCAUAUGCAAACAUAAAAAACACGCGCAAAGCAUUACCGUGAGACCCAUUUUUUAAAUGAAUAAAAUUAUUAAAAUAUAAUGAAUACACCAUCGCACUUUAGAUGGACCGAAUUGCAAAGCGUUAGCUGAGGAAAGGCCACAUCUACCAACAGGAAUGUACUUUAUCGGAGCACACAGGGUAAGACGACCGAGUGUUUGCGCGCAAAAACUUUAAAAAAUACAAAACAAUUUUAUGGCUCUGCGGGAAACUGUUAUUGGUGACCGUAUGACAUAUUACGAAUGUUAGUGAAGUGUCAAAACAGACGAAAAUUUCCGUAAUCACUAUUCGUUCAAGUUCCGUAUUUAAUUAUCCUCAUAGAUCUCAUAAUAUAGCGGACUGUCAUGAAUAUCGAACACUGAUUGGACCCAAUUUGCAUUAUAAUGACUGCAUGACCACAACAAAAUAGAAAAUGAUUUCCUGCCAAUAUAUUUCAUUUUUUGCCAUAGGCGGCACAUAAAUGCUGUUAAUUUACAUAAAUACUGCAAUACAAAUUGUUAAAGAAAGUCAGAACAUCUCAAUUUAGCGAACUGUAGCUUAUUAAUUAAAGGCAGAAUUAAAGAUAAGCACUGUCCGUGAGAUGCCGGAGUCGCAAGUGCGAUUAUCUCUAAUGCUGUCUAAUUUAUUAAUUACAGUUUGCUACUAUUUGAGAUGUUUUAGAAGGUCCUGUGGAAGAUUAGCGAAAGAUAAACUGGCAUAUUUCCUUGUUAAUUAACCUUCUUUAAAUAAAGUUUUAAUAAAAAAUAAUAAAAAACUUUCUUAAUAAUCAUAUCAAUAUGGUGUUUCCAGUUUAAUUUUUCGUCUAAAGUGACACCGAGGCAUUUGUAGCAAUUUACCCUUGGGACAGGAACAUUGUUAAGAUUGGUAUUCCUUGAGGUGUAUUCUUAAUUUUAUAAGAGGCGCAAUAAACAUACAUUUAAAUUUCUUAGGAUGAAUAUGUAGCUUAUUAUUCUCCAUCCAUUGCGUAACAAUAUUUAGGUCAUAAUUUAUGUUGUCAAUAAGAUCAUUUACAUUGUGUGAUGACGCGUAAAUUUCCGUGUCAUCCGCAUAUAGACCCGGCGUGGUUUUUUGGAGACAUUGUGGUAGGUCAUUGAUGCAAAGCAAAAAUAACAGCGGCCCCAGGAUCGAUUAUGUAUUUAUGUAAAUUAACAGCAUUUGAUGUGCCGCCUAUGUUUUUUGCAAGUUUAUGUAAAUUUCAAAACCUUUUUGAGAAAAAAAGGCGAAAGAAUUGUUAAAUAAAGGGAGCAAAGGCGCCGAAGUUAACUUAACGAAGGUAAGUUUUGUUUUAAAUAUUGAUGUAUUGUUUGCUUUAUAAGCUGAUCGUUGCGCAUAUUCAGUUAAGUAAAAAAGACAGUAUCUAAUUUUAGUGCAUCUUUAUUGAUUCCUUUUUUUAUUAUAUUAAAAUUUUACAUAAAAAAAGCAAACUUAUUUGCAUGCUAGAAUUUGAAAUCAUUUUAUUUCAAUAAAGGCAGUUUAAUUUUAUAAAGAAAUUUUAAAACGUGCUUUUUCAAAAAAACAAAUGCUAAGUACAAACAAAUGCAUUUGUUUUUCAAAAAACAAAUGCAAAAAAAAAAGCAAAUAAAGGUUUAUAAUGACAAAAAAUACAUUGAAUAAUCAGUUUUGUGUGCCAAAUCAAUUGCCAGUUAAAACAGCAAUUUUACAUGUGAUACGAAUAUCACCAGACCGGUGCAGUAAAUUCCCCUGAGGAGUUCCAACAAAGUAAUAAGAAUGCAUGGAAUUACCUUUAUAUGGAGGUUGUGGGAUUCCAAAGACUAAGAUAGAUUUUAUUUACGGUAUUUGCAUUUUCAAGCAAUGUUGACCGAGAUAGCGGCGUUUAAACUUGAACUAACGUUUUAGAAGUGUCGGGAAUUAGCUAUUAAAAACGGCCUAUUAAAACUAUUAAUUAAACUAAUUUGAUAACAGUUACUAUUUUAUCGCAAGUAUUCGUGUAAGUUGAAGUUCAAAUAUUAAAAUGUUUAUUGGAUGGAUAUGCUCUUUUGUUUUUCUUUUUAUACGGUUUUUGGGAAUGCAUGAAAAUUAACUUUUGAAGCCGUUUUGUUUAAAAGAUUUAUUCUAAAUUUUCAAUGGCCGCGGGGAAUCACAUUCUAUUAUAUAACUACUACAGUGAAACACGCAAUUUGAUUGGUCAUGCAAUAGCCGUACGUGCAGGAUCACGCUUUAUAUAAUAACUACAGUGAAACACGCAAUUUGAUUGGUCAACAGCCGUGCAGGAUCAGACAAUCCUGCACGGGAAAUUCUGAACAUAAAUUCUUGGACAUAAUUUUACAAAUAUACUCGCAUUGUAAAGUUUCAUUGUACGAUACCUUUCGACUUUGAAGUAGGUUUCCAAUUAUUGAGACGUUCGUUUAGUUGUAUGAAUAAAUUUCUGAUCAAUAUAUUGCUAUUCAGCAAGUAGCAACCAACGCGUAGCGAUGAAAUUCAUCAGACCAUGGCAUGAAUUUGCGAUCAAAUUCUGUUCACAUAUGUUGUUGUUUUCAAUAGCGUGGAGUAGCGAUUCUCUGAUUGGUUAAUUCACGAAUGUUGUGAGAACUGCACAUUUCAUCAGUAAUUCUAAUCAAGUUAAGCGUUGUUUCACUGUAGUAAUUUUAUAAAACAAUUACCAAAAGGUUUUCCCGUGCAGGAUAGCAUGAUCCAUGCACUUGGGAUGUUGCUCGACUUUCGGAAAGCGUAAAAAUACACUCGCCUACGGCUCGUGUAUUUUUACGCUUUCCGAAAGUCUCGCAACAUCCCGCGUGCAUGGAUCACGCAAUCCUGCACGGAAAACCAUUCGGUAUUCCUUUAAUCCUACACGAGUAAUUAAAAUGCCUAAUUCGCGGGAUUCUCAAAAUGUCAUUCUUUCACAGUAGUUAUUUAUAAAAUAACGUGGGAUGUUGCUCGACUUUCGGAAAGCGUACAAAUCGGCCAAUACACUCGCCUCCGGCAGGAGUAUUUUUACGCUUUCCGAACGUCUCGCGACAUCCCUCGUGCAUGAAUCACGCAAUCCUACCGGGAAAACCAUUCGGUGUUCCUUUAAUGUUUCAUGAAAAAAUAUUGCGUGCCAUUUUUUAUAUUUAACGAAGAUCAAAAUAGUUCAUUAAUGGCUUCAUAUAGGAUCUAAAUAAAUAGGAGAUCCAGUACCAACUCCUGUCAUUGGAUUACUAAGCCACACUUGCCCAUGCAACAUAAAAGUUAUCGAUAUAAUUAUUAAAACCAGUCACUUUUUGUUCUAAACAAAAUCGUCCGCUCCCACAGCUGCCGUUUACACUUAAUCAUCUAUCGGGAUCCACUCUAAGCGAAAAGGUUAAUUAGAUGAUAAUUAAGUCAUUAUUGAUAAUUAAGUCAUUAUAACAUUCUGUUACUGCCAUGUACACUCCGCCCAAAAUUCAGGAAAUCUUUAUAGCGAUUACUUUGCUAUCUAUCAAAAAGGAACAUCAUUUAAACAAACAAUCAACGAUAUAUUUAUAUUCAACAGGUAUAUUGUGACCUGCCUUCAGGAUGGACUCUUGCUGCUCGCUUUUCUAAUAACGAUAGCAAGAAUUGGAUGCAAUAUGCGAACUUUUGGUUUGAUAGAAUGCCUACGUAUGGCGGAACGCUAAAUCCUUCAAACAACCAGGAUAUGAUUUCUGAAGCAUUUUGUAGAAUGCCAGCAAAUGAAUUAAAAAUUACAAGAAGUGAUGAUCCAGCACAUACAGCAUUGCUAGAAACUACUGAUAAUUGCCUCAAUGGAAAAUCAUUUAGACAAUAUGUCACUUCUUUUGGAAACUUUCGUAACGGGGCUCGUUGGACGAGUAAUAAGUGUCUGAGUAGUUGUGCGAUCAAAUACGGUGGACAAUAUAAGAGCACGACCGGAUUUGAAAUGCACAGUUGUGGCGGUAAUCUUCAAAGCAAUAAUUAUAUCGGGUUUUGGUGUCAUUGGGGUGGAGAUGCUGCAGUUAUGAUGAUUGGUGGAGGCGGAAGUGCCUGCGGUAGAGCAGAUCAUGGCAUUGGAAUAUCUGAAG
RNAcentral lists this long non-coding RNA (8780 nucleotides) under Paramuricea clavata. The record is from RNAcentral. Lineage: Eukaryota; Metazoa; Cnidaria; Anthozoa; Malacalcyonacea; Plexauridae.